AUUGAACGCUGGCGGCAUGCCUUACACAUGCAAGUCGAACGGCAGCACGGGAGCAAUCCUGGUGGCGAGUGGCGAACGGGUGAGUAAUAUAUCGGAACGUGCCCAGUCUGGGGGAUAACGUAGCGAAAGCUACGCUAAUACCGCAUACGAUCUAUGGAUGAAANCGGGGGAUCGCAAGACCUCGCGCGAUUGGAGCGGCCGAUAUCAGAUUAGGUAGUUGGUGAGGUAAAGGCUCACCAAGCCGACGAUCUGUAGCUGGUCUGAGAGGACGACCAGCCACACUGGGACUGAGACACGGCCCCAGACUCCUACGGGAGGCAGCAGUGGGGAAUUUUGGACAAUGGGCGCAAGCCUGAUCCAGCAAUGCCGUGUGCAGGAUGAAGGCCUUCGGGUUGUAAACUGCUUUUGUACGGAACGAAACGGUGAGCUCUAAUACAGUUUGCUAAUGACGGUACCGUAAGAAUAAGCACCGGCUAACUACGUG
RNAcentral lists this ribosomal RNA (484 nucleotides) under uncultured bacterium. RNAcentral describes it as "bacterial SSU rRNA". It matches the Rfam family "Bacterial small subunit ribosomal RNA", at positions 30 to 507 of the family's 1533-position model. The record is from RNAcentral.